CCCCAGGGCGCGCAGGCCGUGGGGUUCCUUGGAAAGCAAUAAGGGGACCCUGGUGUGACCCCCAUCUGGAUCCCGAAAGUCAUGUGGCAGGGGGUGCGCAUUGUCCGGCGACCUUGGGAAACGGUGCAUCUCUGGCAUUUUGCAAACGAGGCUUGUAGCAGAAACGUCCCGGGGGUAAGUUGCAAUUUGGAUCAGGUAAGGUCACCUGGGCAGCGCGAAUUACUGGGUCUUGCAGAGUUGUUGCAUUUUUGAGCUGAGCUUGAGGCCCGGGGGGUGGGGAUGCAGAUAAAAAGUCUCACCUGGGAAAAAGAAAAAGUAUAAAAUAAAUGAAUUUUCGCAGCUGUGGGCUCUGAUCCGUCUCCCCGAACGAAAGCGUGGAUUAGAGAAGCCCACGAGGUUGCGAUAUUAACCCGAUUUUGAGCCACAGAGACCGAACCAGACCCCAAGAAGGGGCAGGCAGACAAAAUGCAAUGCACUGAGGAGUGGACGCAGCGCCCUGCAGCCUGGGGCCGUGGACAGCAGAGAAUCCACUCACGAGGCUGAUGUCUGUCGCCAGAAAGGCUCCUGUCACACCCGAAGCCACCGCCACCGCCGCUGAUUCUUCCUCCAAUAAUUAUUCCGGGCCCAUCUCGGGGCCGCGUCUCUGGGUGGAAUGUGAUUCCGAGGCGAGACACGGGGCGCAUAGGAAUGGCCCGAGCCGGGCUCCGCGCGCUGCACCAGGACAACUUCUCGGAGCGAGCGCGCGGAAAGAAAUCGUAAGGGCAUUCAGAGACGGGGAUGCCCACGGCAGGGUGUCAGCAGCCUGUGGCUCUGCUCCGCAGCGGCCUUGGGACCCCUUGAGACACAGGGACAAAGACUGGCUUUGGCCUCCGCCCGUCU
Molecule: long non-coding RNA, 879 nt
Filed under: Ictidomys tridecemlineatus (thirteen-lined ground squirrel)
Lineage: Eukaryota; Metazoa; Chordata; Mammalia; Rodentia; Sciuridae
Description: lncRNA (ENSSTOG00000032038.1)
Source: RNAcentral